CUCAUGUGUGAGAAAAUGCAAAAAUGUUAAGAGGUGAAAUCAUUGGGUUAUGAAAGCCUUAACUCAAUCAGAGCAUUAAUUCUCUGAAAAGGAUUAACUGGAUGGUAACUGAAGGCAGGUAGGAUGUGGCUGGAGGAGGUGGGCAUUAAGGGCAUAUCUUUGGCAUUUGUAGUUUGUCAUGAGGAGGAGACUUUCUCUGUGCUUCCUGUUGUAAUGUCCUCAGCUGCUUUCCUCACCCUUCCACCAUCAUGUUCUGCUUCACUUCAAGCCCCAAGGAAUGGAGCCAACCAUCUAUGGACUGAGACCUCUGAAUUGUGAGCACCCAAAUAAACUUUUCCUCCUUUAAUUGUUCUUUUCAGGUCUUUUAGUCACUAUGGUGAAAAAGCUGACUAAAACAGAGGCACAGGCAGUAAGAAGCCUCUAUUAUCAGGCUGCUUUCACUCUGGCCGUGAACAAGUGAAUCUGCAGACUCUUUCGUUUUAGUUUGAAUUGACUCUGGUUUUGCACAGCAGAAGCAGCCACUGGGAAAUGGCCCCCUUCUCAUUGGAGGCUUUCCAGGCAUUGAUGAAAUCUGACUAUAUGUAGAGCACUAGCUACAGCGAAUUCUGGGAAAAUAACUUCCCUGCCUCUGAAGUACAAACAUAUAAGUGGAAUGGAAUGAAGAUACUAGAGAAUCAUAAACAGUAUGUGGUUACAACAAGAACAAUGUAAGAAUUAUUUUAAAUCAUGAAGAGUUGAGAUACACAGUCUAAAUCUGUUUCUAUUUUUCACAGUCGAUUGCUUUAUUAUUAUUAUUAUUAGAUUUAUAUAGUUUUUAGCCUGUAGGGGGAUUUGCUAUGGAGUGCUCUUGGGGAAAUAGAAGAUAAGGAGGGAAAACAAGAUUGGGUGGAAGAGAAAACUGACCAAGGGAGUAAUGAGUAGCACUUAAGUCGAUCACUUGGAUGCCACCUAUAAUUUUCCAUGCCUCCAUUGCACGAAAGUAACCAACUUUUUUUUUUUUUAACAAUAAGGGUCAAUAACUCAUUUGAGAAUGGUGACUGCUCUUGUUGCCUGCUAGUGCUUUGACAUAAAUUACCUAAGUAUUUAGAUGCAAAUUAUAGCCUAUAGUUCAAUGGGACUAUUGCCAAACCUCUAGCAGAAGUAUUCACAAACAAAAGUAUUCAUUGCUUUGCUAGGAUUAGAAACAUUUUUUGAAAAAAUUAUCCAGAAAAUGCAGAAUACCCUGAAUUUGAAAGGGAGUAAUAGUAAAAACUGUGCUACAUGGUUGUUGUAAUCACUUAUAAAUCAUUGAAAACAAGUAUGCAACUAUUGUUGCAGAAGAAAGUCUGGUUUAAUAUAAUAAUACAUAGUUGUUUUGAUGGAGAUGAAAAUGUUCUUUUGUAGUAUUUUGUUAUGGUUUGCUUGAUAAUGAAUGGCAUGUUAACAUGAUGUAAAGUUAUCUUCCUUUUGGGAAUAUUUGUGCAUGUAUAUUAGGACAUCAUGCAAAACAAACAUUUUGGUAGAUAUGUAAGCACUGAGGACAUUUCAAUUUUUCUGCAGUUCAAAAAAUCAUUUUAGAGAAGGUAUAAUAUCAUUAUCCCAAGCUUGUGGAAAAGCCAAAACAAAGUAAUAAAUCCAUUAUAAAUAAGUUAAGAAAUUCCUGCUUUGAGAAUGUACUCUGCAUGUCUGCUAAAGAGAGAAUAUUUUCCCUGAGUAGUAUUUUAAAUAUUAUUUCAAUAUCAAUAGUCCUGGCGCUGAAUGAAUUAAAAUUUCCCAAAGAGAUUCCUUUUGAGGAAUCAAAAUUCCUUAAUGAUCAAUGAGAGAAAAAGAAAAGUCUAUUAUAUUGUGAAAGUAUGUAUUUUUUUUUUACAUUUGUGUUCUUAUAGAUGUUAUGUACUUAUAUAUUAUGUGUUCUAUGUAUAUAGGUGAAAAGAAGUAGUCCUUAUCUAAAAGUGCAGGUGCGCCUGAGGUUAUACACACUGUAGACUGAGUACCUAAGGUAUUUUCUGUGUAUGAUUAGGGGCAAUAACUUAUUUUAAAAAUGAUGACUUCUCUUCUUGCUUGCUAGUUCUUUGACACAAAAGCCCAAGUGCUUAGAUAAAAAUUAUAGUUCAAUGGGACUCUUGCCAAAUCUGAAAUAAAAUCAUGCACUUUUUAAAGUGAAGUCUAGAGUUUAUGACUUCCAGGCUUUCUUUGUAACAUUCUCAUUUUUUUCUUCAUUCCGGCUAUUAUUUGCCAAUGGAUUCAUUUUAAUUUUUCCUUUUCUAUUCAAUUACAGCAUUAGGUUAACUAUCUCCAGUUCUUCAAUCUUGUUUCACAAAUAAGAGAACAUAUCUACAGUGAAUUCAGGUGGAGCCACAUUUGUAGGAUAUUAGAAGGUUGUCUGCAUCUGGAAGAGGUGUGAGCAUUAUACUCUCUUGACAUUUCUUACAAAUGCAUUAUCUUUAAUUAAGGAAACCUGAUGUAGUCAUUUAAUUGGGUACUCUACAUUUGAAUUCUUAACUUUUGAAAAUAAACAUUCCUGUCAAGCCAGAAUAGAAAAUAGAAUUUGUAAAGUUGAAAAUUUUGUAUUAUUGCUCUGACUGAUAUGGAUGGGAUGUUAUUGGAACUAAAAAACAGCUCAACACUAAUAACCAUUUGUUUUAGAUUCCAGAUCUGAUUAUAUAAAAGUGCUUUUUUCUAAUACUUUAAGGAUCAUUAUUUAUUCUUAUCCUUACUUCAAUAGGAUCUUAUAAAGUCUUUCUCAAAUGGGUCACAUUUCUAAUUCUACUGUACUACUAAUAGAUUCUUCAUUGAAGAAAUGUACUAGAAAAUUCUAAAUAUUCAAACAUUUUUUCUAUUUAAUGUUCAAUCAAUAAAUUUAAACAAAAAGCCCUUCAGGGAUACUAAGAGCCUAUACAGGCAUUACCAAAAAAAAAUCUUUAAUUUGUACUAGGCAAAAAUGCAUGACAUAAUUUUACAUGAAAAAGCUAAAGUGAGGUCAGAGGUAUAGCCCAUGUAACAUUUCUUCAAAAGCAUAGGUCAGAAGUUCUUAUGGAUGGAGAGAGACAUCUGUUGCAGUAGUAGACCUGGGGUUCCCUUGAAAAUUGGACUUUUUGUCUGUUACACAACUUAUUUAUGAUAAAAAGGAAUAUAUGCUUGGAUGUUGGAUUUUGGUAAUGGUACAAAAUAAAAGAUAAAUUUAUCUUCACCGCUGGUGAUCUAAUCACCAAUAAAAUCAAAUAUUUAAUACUUGAUAAUUCUUUUAUGACUUGUGUAGUAUGUUUUAUUUCUCAUAGUGUAGUAUGUUUCCAGUGACAACAAGAAAUAAAAGGAAACAGCUAUGCUUAGCUAUGCUAACUGUGCAUUUUUUAAGAUCUCAAAUCAAACACCAAUAACUCAGAAAAGAUUUACCUGAUAUUAAUGAUCAAGCCAACUGCCUAAGUUUUAUUUAAUAAUUUCACUAUUAUCCACUUCUAAAUAUUUACCACAGUUGUAAUUCUCCAUUUUUUAUAAUUGUCUGAUGCCUGACUCCCCUACUACAAUGGACAGAAAUUUUGUUCUUUGGUUUUCUUUUCUCUCUCUCUCUCUCUCUCUCUCUCUCUCUCUCUCUCUCUCUCUCUCUCUCUUUUUUCCAGGAGUGAAUUAGUUGUUCUAAACAAAACCAAAAACACAACAGCAAGUUCAACUAUUCUAUAGACCAAAAUUAGAGGAAAACAUCUCCCAGGAAUUUAGGCUGAUACUUCAGAAGUACUCCAGAAGAGAUGGAGGUGAAAGGAUGAUAGAGAACAGAUCCAAUACACAGGGGACGAGGUGGAAAGCCAAGAAGAAAAGCAGGGGAACAGAGUGGUAUUGACUUGCUCAAGACAAAUAAAGAUUGUGGCAUAUUGUAUGAUUGGCAGCCUGGCCACUGAUAUUUUUUAAAGCUUCCUAGAUGAUUUUAUUAUGUAACCAAGGUUCAGAACCACUGGAUUAAGAAAAGUAACAUUCAAUAUACUUAAAUUAUGUAAAAAUUCUACUUGUGUUCAUAGUACUGUAUACUGUGAAAUAUACUUUAUAUAAAGUUCUAUGUAAAAUACCUCCUACAAAAAGAAAAAAAAAAAGGCUUCUAAAUCCUAACAGUUCAGAGAGAAAAGGAAAUAUGUAUAGCCAUAAUGUGAAAAUGUAUAAAAAUAUAUUUGUUAAAUUGAAUUCAGAGAAAGGAUGAUUUAAAACAUUAAAAUAUUAUUUCAUAUUCAUAUCGUCAUAAAUGGAAGGAACCCUAAAAUAUCAAAGGUGUGAAGAAAUACCAACUUUUAUAUAUUUCUGAUGCUAAUGUAAUGAUGAAAUUACUUGAAAAACAAUGUAGCUAUACAUAGAGAAGUUGAACUUGAGACCUAAAACGUCUUGGGUUUUCUUCUAAGCAUAUACUUUAGAGAAAUUUUUGUUCAUGUGAGAAAGGAAGUCAUGUUCACUGCAUAAUUUUAAAGGCAACAAAUUAGACAUCUAUCAGUACACAAAUGAAUUCAAACACUAUCAGAUGUAUUAUGAUGAAAUAGUUCUUAGGUCAUGUUACAGUUUGGGUGUGAGGUAAAUCCCCAAAGCUCACUUGUAAGACAAUGCAAGAAGGUUUGGAGAGAAAUGAUUGGGAUAGAGUCUUAACCUAAUCAGUGAAUUAAUCCCUGAUGGGAUUAACUAGGUGGUGGCUGGAGGUAGGUGGGGUGUGGCUGGGGGAAGUGGUUCAUUGGAGCGUGGCUAUGGCAUAUAUAUUUUGUGUCUGGAGCACGAAGACUCUCUCUCUGCUUUUCAGUCAUCAUGUGAGCUGCUUCCCUCUUCCACACUCUCCCACCAUGAUGUUCUGCUUCACCUGGAGUCCUGAGGAACAGAACUGGCCUUCAAUGGACUAAGACCUCUGAAAUCGUGAGCCCUCAAAUAAACUUUCCUUCCCUAAAAGAAUUCUGGUCAGAUCUUUUAGUCCCAGCAGCGAAAAAUGCUGACUAAAACAGGCCCAUAGAUUAUUAUCUAUAUGAUUCGUAGUUUACUAUCUAUGUUAGUUUUCUGUUCAUAGUUUGUAAUUUACAUUAGUUUAUAUUAUAGUUUAUUAUGUAUAUUAUUUAGUUUUUGCUGCAUCAUAACACAGUCUUAAAACUGAUUUAAAGCUACAUCCAUUUGUUUAGUUCACAUUUUUGUGGGUAGGUAAUUUUAGCUGGGUUCACUUGCAAAGUUUUGUUGGACCUGUCUGGGCUUGACCAGCAGCUGCUGGUACUUGGGCUCAUUUAUAGAUCUGGAGGUUGGCUGGCUGUUGGCUGGAUGCAAGGCUGAGUUAUGUGUCUCUCAUCAGGAGUCAGGCCAGCCUAUGCUUUUUUGCAUAGUGGUACUUGCAGGAUUUCCAACAACAUCAAAUAGUCAAGAUCCAAUGUAGAGGCACUUUCUAAGCUUCUGCUUAUGUACCAUUCACUAAUAUUCUGCUGGUCAAAGAAAUCAAGUGGUCAAUCCAGAUUCAAGUAGUGAUUUCUUAAUAGGAGAAAUGGCAAAAAAAAAAAAAAAUGUUGGCUUUGUUUUUUCCCAAUUUACCCUUAGGAUUAGUAUUUUCAAACUCAGUUUUAGAAAAGUGCUUAUGAGCUCCAUAUAUUGAACAUUCACCAAUACCCCAAGCAGGAUCUGGAACAACUCUCUAUUUUCAAUCCCUUUAGUGUUGCUACAGCAAAAUUGAUUAUCGUUGAUAAAGAUAAUAAACUGUAUCUGUCAGUUCAAGUGUAUUGUCCAAAAAUUAGUACCAAAUUUACAAACAACCAGUCAAAUAAAUAAAUUUGGUUGUAGGGGGAUUGGAAACUGAAUAAAUGACUGUAGACCUUCUGAAUGUGAGUUAAAAUUGGAUCAUAUAUAAGUUUUGGCAUAGGUUAAAGACAUAAUUAAAUGAAAGAAAGCAAGUUACAUAAAAAUAUUUGCUGCAAACAACAAUUAUAUAAAGUUUUAACAGAAAAUGUUGUGUAGAGAUACAUUUAAAGGCAUAUUUUGAUGAAAACAAAAAUUGAAAUAUAUAUACAAAUUUCAAGGAGGUAGUUGGUUCUGAAGAGAAAAAUGAUGACAAAAAUAUGUGAAGUGGAAAAUAAAUAUAAUUAAUUUUCAUUUUAAAUCUAUUUGAAGCAACAGAAACAAAUACAAAUGGAAAUUAUUAUAUGAUAUAAAUGAUAAAAAGUGAAACUCAAAUGACUAGGGAAAAUUCAUACAUUUACAUUAAUGGACCUGAGAACUUGAGGGACAUUCAAAACAUUAGAUCCUGCUGGACACAGGGUUACUCCUGUAAUCCCAGUGGCUCAGGAGGCUGAGGCAAAAGGAUUGCAAGUUCAAGACCAGCCAGGGCAGUUUAGCAAGACCCUGUCUCAAAAAUAAAAAGGGCUGGAGAUGUGGCUCAGUGGUUAAGUGGGUUCAAUCCCUGGUACCCAAAAGCUUAGAUUCUUACACUAUACACCAGAAUUAAUACCAAAUAAAUCAGAUAUUCUGUUGUUAAAAAUCAAGGAAAACUGGGGCUGGAGUUGUGGCUCAGAGGUAGAGUGCUUGCCUACCAUGUGUGAGACCCUAGGUUUGAUACUCAGCACCACAUAAAAAUAUAAAAUAAAAUAUAUUGUCCACCUAUAACUAAAAAAUAAAUAUAAAAAAAUCAAGGAAAACUAGUACUUUAAAAUUAAUCAUUUUUUUUUUAUAAACUGAGUGGAGAAAAUUUUCUGUGAUUAAAUUUGGUCAUGAAAACAAUGAGAAAGAUCUUAUGCUUUGAAAUUGCUAGAUCUAUAAGACAUAUUGCAGGGUAAGAAAGCAGAACAAUGUGUGUGGUAUACUUCCUUUUGAAUAACAGUAAAAACUCAAUAGUGCAAUGUACUGACAUUUGCUUAUGGGGAGGGAGGAGGCAAACAGGAUGAAAUAGCAAUGAACCCAUAAUUUCUUGUAAUAUAUGUGGCUUUGACUUUACAACCAUUUUCACCAUGCAUUCCUAAAUAAAUAAUUAAUUAAAAAACAUGAACAACAAAGAAAACUCAAAGUUCACUUGGUAUCUUAUUUUUGAUAAUAUUGAUAUUAUACUUUUAA
RNAcentral lists this long non-coding RNA (7020 nucleotides) under Marmota monax (woodchuck). Lineage: Eukaryota; Metazoa; Chordata; Mammalia; Rodentia; Sciuridae. The record is from RNAcentral.